RNAcentral lists this ribosomal RNA (682 nucleotides) under Salmonella enterica. Its description in RNAcentral is "partial 23S ribosomal RNA". It matches the Rfam family "Bacterial large subunit ribosomal RNA", at positions 711 to 1308 of the family's 2925-position model. Lineage: Bacteria; Pseudomonadati; Pseudomonadota; Gammaproteobacteria; Enterobacterales; Enterobacteriaceae. The record is from RNAcentral.
AGACCCGAAACCCGGUGAUCUAGCCAUGGGCAGGUUGAAGGUUGGGUAACACUAACUGGAGGACCGAACCGACUAAUGUUGAAAAAUUAGCGGAUGACCUGUGGCUGGGGGUGAAAGGCCAAUCAAACCGGGAGAUAGCUGGUUCUCCCCGAAAGCUAUUUAGGUAGCGCCUCGUGAAUUCAUCUCCGGGGGUAGAGCACUGUUUCGGCUAGGGGGCCAUCCCGGCUUACCAACCCGAUGCAAACUGCGAAUACCGGAGAAUGUUAUCACGGGAGACACACGGCGGGUGCUAACGUCCGUCGUGAAGAGGGAAACAACCCAGACCGCCAGCUAAGGUCCCAAAGUCAUGGUUAAGUGGGAAACGAUGUGGGAAGGCCCAGACAGCCAGGAUGUUGGCUUAGAAGCAGCCAUCAUUUAAAGAAAGCGUAAUAGCUCACUGGUCGAGUCGGCCUGCGCGGAAGAUGUAACGGGGCUAAACCAUGCACCGAAGCUGCGGCAGCGAACGUAUCACUUAAAGCGAUUCAGCGGGUUACGAUUGACGGAGCGAAGCGACGUCAAAGCGUAUACAAAGUCGAGUCGGUUUAAGGAUACGUUCGUUGGGUAGGGGAGCGUUCUGUAAGCCCGUGAAGGUGGCCUGUGAGGGUUGCUGGAGGUAUCAGAAGUGCGAAUGCUGACAUAAGUA